Alligator mississippiensis (American alligator) is the source of this 1411-nucleotide long non-coding RNA. RefSeq lists it as uncharacterized. The transcript is spliced from 3 exons. The record is from RefSeq and is a predicted model, not a curated record. NCBI's taxonomy places the organism in Eukaryota, Metazoa, Chordata, Crocodylia, Alligatoridae.
UUUCCUCCAAGUGUCGUCAGCAGAGUCCUUAUCCGAUAGAGUUACAUAGACUGUGGGGACAGAUUCUCUUCUUGCUUCCCCUGGUAGAAAUCAUGAGCAACUUCCCUGAAUUCAUUGGUACUGCUCCAACGUAACAUCAGUAUAAGCCAGAGAAGAAUCAGACUCAUUUGUCUCCGCUGGAACGCCAAGUCCCUAAAGCAAUUGUGCUGCAUGAUGUCUAUCUAGAUAUAGGUGCCUUAGGAAUACCAGAGAUAAAUGGAGAUAUGCAAUGGAUCCCUCUUGGUUAAACAGCGAGCUUUGAAUCUGGAACCCCCAGGACUAAAAAUCACUUCUGUUCUCAGUGGAGGUACAGCAGGUCAGUGGAGGUACAUCAGCAUAUGACCUGACUCCUCAGACUAGAAGGGAAAACAGCAAAGGCUAACUACAGAUUAAUGUGUAAUUUUCAAUAGACUAUUCAGAAAUAUUCACUGGGAACCCAUCUCUGGAACUAAUUUACUCAGACAAUGGAAUGCCUUUAUAUGGAGAGGAGAAACCUCUUGGGAUUUCACCCACUUAUUUUUCAAGCUUUUUUAAAAAGGAAGUAAAUUUGAGGAUAUCUAUUGGGAACAUCAUUCUACACAUUUACCUAGCAAGCCCCUGGAUGUUGAUAUAUUGGUAUAAAUACUACUAAAACCUAAUUUAUCUCCUGUCUUAAGUACUAACUGUUCCACUUUGUUUGUUCUUUUGCCUCCCCUACAUCAAACAAACUGUAACAUAGCAGAACAUCCCAGAAGUCCUGCCUAUCACAGCUCCUAUCCAUAUUUUAUCCUUUCUGUCUCCACCUUCGCCUGCAGUUUCUUUCCACUGCUUGAUCAGUUUUCAUGGUCAUUCAAGUCAUAGGGGUGAUUUGUUCAGGUAAAAUGGAAAAUUGAAACGGAACGGGUGCUGGAUACAACAUCAUCCGCUUUUUCUGUUUUGUCAAAGUGCCUCGGCUGUUCAUUUUUUCAUGGUCAUGAGUUGAAAUAAAUUAAACUUCCCAGAGGCAAAACUUCUCUAAGAUCAAAUUGGAAUAUAUUGAUUAGGCUCUUUGAGGGCUGAUGGAUUGGACUCUCAUGCUUUAUAAACACAUUUACCAACACGUUUUCAGAAACAGUUGCUUAGCACUGGGCAAACUGAUUGUGUUUAUUUAAAACUGUGACACCGGCAUACACCUGUAGCCCUCAUUCUGGCCAAUAAAGUCUCACUUCCUGAUUGAUGGAGACAAGUUGAGCUGUCUGGCUGCAUGACUCCUAAGACUGGUCCCAAAGGUUGCAGGGCUGAUGGAGUCCAGCGCAAUGCAUCAAUGUCAGAGAAACAACUUAGCAUGUCAUUGAGAAGAUCUGAUCAGUGGGCACCUGGGAGAGAGGAUGAAAGCAGUAAGCUAGAAGAUUUU